Molecule: ribosomal RNA, 1116 nt
Filed under: uncultured bacterium
Lineage: Bacteria
Description: bacterial SSU rRNA
Rfam family: Bacterial small subunit ribosomal RNA
Source: RNAcentral
AGUGGGGAAUAUUGCACAAUGGACGAAAGUCUGAUGCAGCAACGCCGCGUGGAGGAUGACACAUUUCGGUGCGUAAACUCCUUUUAUAUGAGAAGAUAAUGACGGUAUCAUAUGAAUAAGCACCGGCUAACUCCGUGCCAGCAGCCGCGGUAAUACGGAGGGUGCAAGCGUUAUUCGGAAUCACUGGGCGUAAAGGGUGCGUAGGCGGUUUGGAAAGUCAGGUGUGAAAUCCUACAGCUUAACUGUAGAACUGCACUUGAAACUUCCAGACUAGAAUACUGAAGGGGCAGAUGGAAUUAGUGGUGUAGGGGUAAAAUCCGUAGAUAUCACUAGGAAUACCGAAAGCGAAAGCGAUCUGCUGGGAAGUUAUUGACGCUGAGGCACGAAAGCGUGGGGAGCAAACGGGAUUAGAUACCCCGGUAGUCCACGCCCUAAACGAUGAAUGCUAGUCGUCGGAAAGCUCGUCUUUUCGGUGAUGCAGUUAACACAUUAAGCAUUCCGCCUGGGGAGUACGGUCGCAAGAUUAAAACUCAAAGGAAUAGACGGGGACCCGCACAAGUGGUGGAGCAUGUGGUUUAAUUCGAAGAUACGCGAAGAACCUUACCUAGCCUUGACAUUGAUAGAAUCUGAUAGAGAUAUCGGAGUGCCUGCUUGCAGGAACUUGAAAACAGGUGCUGCACGGCUGUCGUCAGCUCGUGUCGUGAGAUGUUGGGUUAAGUCCCGCAACGAGCGCAACCCUCGUCGUUAGUUGCUAACAGUUCGGCUGAGCACUCUAGCGAGACUGCCUUCGCAAGGAGGAGGAAGGUGAGGACGACGUCAAGUCAUCAUGGCCCUUAUGGCUAGGGCUACACACGUGCUACAAUGGGGCGUACAGAGAGUUGCGAUACCGCGAGGUGGAGCCAAUCUCAUAAAGCGUCUCUCAGUUCGGAUUGAUCUCUGCAACUCGAGAUCAUGAAGCUGGAAUCACUAGUAAUCGUAGAUCAGCAAUGCUACGGUGAAUACGUUCCCGGGUCUUGUACUCACCGCCCCGUCACACCAUGGGAGUUGAUUUCACCCGAAAUCGGGAAGCGAACCUUCGGGGCGUUACCGCUUACGGUGGAAUUAGCGACUGGGGUG